This 2135-nucleotide long non-coding RNA is filed under the name Homo sapiens (human). Its description in RNAcentral is "non-protein coding lnc-SLC35B1-4:2". The record is from RNAcentral. Lineage: Eukaryota; Metazoa; Chordata; Mammalia; Primates; Hominidae.
ACUUGCUGGCCUGAAAAAGCUGUAUGCCCCAAAUGAUAGUAUCUUUACUUCACACUGAGUGACUUAAUAAAAGACAUGUAGAUUUCUAGGAGGAUAGACAUAUGUUUAUGAGUUAGUAAAAUGUACCUCAUGUUUGGUUGUAGAAUAAGGAAAAAAGAAGGGAUCAUCAGUAGCUGGUUUCACUGUUUUGAGAAAGAAAUGUUCAUUCCACUAGGUCUGUUCCUUCAUCUUAAGUGACAAAUGACCUGGAAAUACUACUUUCUGAAAUAAUAAUAUGGAAUAAUAAUAAUAUGAAAUAAUAAGAAUAAUAAUAUGAAAGAUGAGUUGUAACUACAACCCAUCUUCUCAGUGGGACAUGUUCUACUCCCUUGCCCCAUGGAGAGAGCAAAAGCUGGAAAAAACCCAAAGAAGAAAAGCCCUCACAACAGCAGUUCUGGGGCAGGACAGGUCUGAGACAUUCCAGGUGGAUGAGUGAACAAUAUUCAACAUAGAAAAUUCCCAAAGACAGGAAAUAACAUCCUCUAGGUCUAGUUGUAGAAUUAUUUUCUAAGGAGUGAUCAAGUGAGGCAGAAGAGGGAGGGGAGAGACCCAUCAGUGUGAGUUCCUUUGAGUGCUUACUGUGUGCUGGACACUUGCUUGGUGCUUUUGAGAUAUUAACCAUUGAAUGAAGUAUGGUUAUCCUCCCCUCUUUUUUGAUAAUCAAGUAGGCCCCAGGCUCUGAUCUGCCCUGUGGUUAAAGGCUGGUGAGUGGCAAAGCCAGGCAGAAGCUCAGGGCUUCUGGCCGAGGGAGCCCAUGCUCCUUUUUAUGACUAGCAUCACCGGUGAAUAUAAGGAACAUAGGCAGUGUUGGGGGCCUGGGGAACAUUCUGCUUUUUGUUUUUGAGAAUAUAGUGGCUCAAAGUCUUGGUUUUCAGAUGACGACAGCCACAGGCAAGUCACCAGUCUGCUCAUUGUCUAACAAGCAAAUUCUUAUGCAUAUUAAGGGUUCUUCUGUUUCUUGCAUUGACACCCUUUAUACCUAACAGUGGAAAAUUAGGCUAUCUAGGUGGCUGUUGAAUUCAUCCCUUGCUCACUCCCUUUGGUAACCCAUUUCUCCACAUUUCUCCUAGUCAUGCUUCGGAUGUCUUGGAGACCUCUGGGUGGAAGUCAAUGGUGGUGUCACAUCCCCACUUGGUGGCUGAGGCAUACCGCUCUCUGGCUUCAGCACAGUGCCCUUUUCUGGGACCCCCACGCAAACGCCUGAAGCAAUCCUAAGAUCCUGCUUGUUGUAAGACUCCGUUUAAUUUCCAGAAGCAGCAGCCACUGUUGCUGCCACUGACCACCAGGUAGACAGCGCAAUCUGUGGAGCUUUUACUCUGUUGUGAGGGGAAGAGACUGCAUUGUGGCCCCAGACUUUUAAAACAGCACUAAAUAACUUGGGGGAAACGGGGGGAGGGAAAAUGAAAUGAAAACCCUGUUGCUGCGUCACUGUGUUCCCUUUGGCCUGGCUGAGUUUGAUACUGUGGGGAUUCAGUUUAGGCGCUGGCCCGAGGAUAUCCCAGCGGUGGUACUUCGGAGACACCUGUCUGCAUCUGACUGAGCAGAACAAAUCGUCAGGUGCCUGGAGCAAAAAGGAAAAAAAAAAAAGAAAGGACAUUGAGUUUUAACAGAAGGGAAAAGGAAAGAAGAAAAGAUUUUUGCAGAAUUUCUCAAAAAUCAGUUUGUGGAUUCCAGUAGUAUUUAUAUUGAGAGAAACAAAUUUUAGUCCUUCUAACUGUGCUAAAACUUGGAUAUUUGUGAAAACUCCUUACCACCAUACAAGCAUCAGAAGAGCUCUCUUGUUGUUAGCACUUAUUGUUUGCAAGAACAGAAUACAUCCUUUUAUCCUUUUAUGAAAAAUGACAAGUGAAGGCAAAAGGGGAAGGUUAUUUGAUCUGGAAGAUGAGUGUUCUGAUGUGGUGGCUUUUGCAAAAAUCUUUAUUGGUGUUGAAAACUGGAAAAAAUAACUCAUCCAGAAUUCAUAUUGUCUUGACAAGAACUAUGGUUCUCUGUUUUUAGAUAUUGUGGAAAAUGUUUUUGGGCAUUUUUCUCUGAUUUUAUUUCUUCUCCCCCACCCCUUUUUCUAAAAAACAAACAAAAAAAAAAACACACAAAAC